This is a small nuclear RNA of Suncus etruscus (white-toothed pygmy shrew), 106 nucleotides long. NCBI's taxonomy places the organism in Eukaryota, Metazoa, Chordata, Mammalia, Eulipotyphla, Soricidae. The record is from RefSeq and is a predicted model, not a curated record.
GUGCUUCCCUCUAGCAGCAUAUUUACUAAAAUUAGAAAAAUAAAGAACAUUAGCAUGACCCCUGGAGAAGGAUGACAUAAAAAUUUGUGAAGCAAUCCUAAAAAGU